AACCAUAGGAACUUUAAUCUCCAAUUUCUUGAAGAUCACCAACUUGAACUUAUUUCCCUUCCUAUGAUUUUUCUUUUUAUGAGGAAGAUGUUUUUCAUGUGAUCUUUUCUUCUUUCCUCUCUUCCUCUUUUUCUCAACCUUCUCCUUCUUCCACUUUCUUUUUUUCUUUUUUCUUAUUUUCUUAUUUUUUUUUCUUUUUU
RNAcentral lists this long non-coding RNA (200 nucleotides) under Vigna radiata. RNAcentral's name for it is "long non-coding RNA (VRAD_LNC004945)". Lineage: Eukaryota; Viridiplantae; Streptophyta; Magnoliopsida; Fabales; Fabaceae. The record is from RNAcentral.